Molecule: ribosomal RNA, 451 nt
Filed under: uncultured soil bacterium
Lineage: Bacteria
Description: bacterial SSU rRNA
Rfam family: Bacterial small subunit ribosomal RNA
Source: RNAcentral
GGAACGAACGCUGGCGGCAUGCCUAAUACAUGCAAGUCGAACGAACUCUUCGGAGUUAGUGGCGCACGGGUGCGUAACGCGUGGGAGUCUGCCCCUUGGUUCGGAAUAACAGUUGGAAACGACUGCUAAUACCGGAUGAUGACGAAAGUCCAAAGAUUUAUCGCCAAGGGAUGAGCCCGCGUAGGAUUAGCUAGUUGGUGAGGUAAAGGCUCACCAAGGCAACGAUCCUUAGCUGGUCUGAGAGGAUGAUCAGCCACACUGGGACUGAGACACGGCCCAGACUCCUACGGGAGGCAGCAGUAGGGAAUAUUGGACAAUGGGCGAAAGCCUGAUCCAGCAAUGCCGCGUGAGUGAUGAAGGCCUUAGGUUGUAAACCUCUUUUAGUAGGGAAGAAGCGAAAGUGACGGUACCUGCAGAAAAAGCACCGGACUAACUACGUGCCAGCAGCCGC